GACGAACGCUGGCGGCGUGCCUAAUACAUGCAAGUAGGACGCAGUUGCGAACGGGUGAGUAACGCGUAGGUAACUACCUAAUAGAGGGGGAUAACUAUUGGAAACGAUAGCUAAUACCGCAUACUAGUAGAUGGACCUGCGUUGUAUUAGCUAGUAGGUAGGGUAAGGGCCUACCUAGGCAACGAUACAUAGCCUACCUUAGAGGUUGAUCGGCCACAAUGGUACGGAGUCACGGCCCAGACUCCUACGGGAGGCAGCAGUAGGGAUUCUUCGGCAAUGGGGGUAACCCUGACCGAGCAACGCCGCGGGAGUGAAGAAGGUGUUCGGAUCGUAAAGCUCUGUUGUUAAGGAAGCGGUACUUAACCAGAAAGGGACGGCUAACUACGUGCCAGCAGCCGCGGUAAUUC
This 407-nucleotide ribosomal RNA is filed under the name uncultured bacterium. RNAcentral's name for it is "partial 16S ribosomal RNA". It matches the Rfam family "Bacterial small subunit ribosomal RNA", at positions 28 to 526 of the family's 1533-position model. The record is from RNAcentral.